CUUGCAAACUGGAGAUGGCGACCGGCGCACGGGUGAGUAACACGUAUCCAACCUGCCGAUAACUCGGGGAUAGCCUUUCGAAAGAAAGAUUAAUAUCCGAUAGUAUAUUAAAACCGCAUGGUUUUACUAUUAAAGAAUUUCGGUUAUCGAUGGGGAUGCGUUCCAUUAGUUUGUUGGCGGGGUAACGGCCCACCAAGACUACGAUGGAUAGGGGUUCUGAGAGGAAGGCCCCCCACAUUGGAACUGAGACACGGUCCAA
RNAcentral lists this ribosomal RNA (259 nucleotides) under uncultured bacterium. RNAcentral describes it as "partial 16S ribosomal RNA". It matches the Rfam family "Bacterial small subunit ribosomal RNA", at positions 75 to 334 of the family's 1533-position model. The record is from RNAcentral.